AUUGAACGCUGGCGGCAGGCCUAACACAUGCAAGUCGAGCGGAUGAAGGGAGCUUGCUCCUGGAUUCAGCGGCGGACGGGUGAGUAAUGCCUAGGAAUCUGCCUGGUAGUGGGUGAUAACGUCCGGAAACGGGCGCUAAUACCGCAUACGUCCUGAGGGAGAAAGUGGGGGAUCUUCGGACCUCACGCUAUCAGAUGAGCCUAGGUCGGAUUAGCUAGUUGGUGGGGUAAAGGCCUACCAAGUCGACGAUCCGUAACUGGUCUGAGAGGAUGAUCAGUCACACUGGAGCUGAGACACGGUCCAGACUCCUACGGGAGGCAGCAGUGGGGAAUAUUGGACAGUGGGCGAAAGCCUGAUCCAGCCAUGCCGCGUGUGUGAAGAAGGUCUUCGGAUUGUAAAGCACUUUAAGGUGGGAGGAAGGGCAGUAAGUUAAUACCUUGCUGUUUUGACGUUACCAACAGAAUAAGCACCGGCUAACUUCGUG
RNAcentral lists this ribosomal RNA (484 nucleotides) under uncultured bacterium. RNAcentral's name for it is "partial 16S ribosomal RNA". It matches the Rfam family "Bacterial small subunit ribosomal RNA", at positions 30 to 507 of the family's 1533-position model. The record is from RNAcentral.